UAGGGAAUCUUCCGCAAUGGACGCAAGUCUGACGGAGCAACGCCGCGUGAGUGAAGAAGGAUUUCGGUUCGUAAAACUCUGUUGUUAGAGAAGAACAGCGCAUAGAGUAACCGUUAUGCGUGUGACGGUAUCUAACCAGAAAGCCACGGCUAACUACGUGCCAGCAGCCGCGGUAAUACGUAGGUGGCAAGCGUUGUCCGGAUUUAUUGGGCGUAAAGCGAGCGCAGGCGGUCAAUUAAGUCUGAUGUGAAAGCCCCCGGCUCAACCGGGGAGGGUCAUUGGAAACUGGUUGACUUGAGUGCAGAAGAGGAGAGUGGAAUUCCAUGUGUAGCGGUGAAAUGCGUAGAUAUAUGGAGGAACACCGGUGGCGAAAGCGGCUCUCUGGUCUGUAACUGACGCUGAGGCUCGAAAGCGUGGGUAGCAAACAGG
Molecule: ribosomal RNA, 429 nt
Filed under: Bacteroidota bacterium
Lineage: Bacteria; Pseudomonadati; Bacteroidota
Description: Bacteroidetes bacterium partial 16S ribosomal RNA
Rfam family: Bacterial small subunit ribosomal RNA
Source: RNAcentral